AAGGACUUAAGUUAAGUAAACUAUUAACCUUCAAAGUUACAAUUAAAAGAAUAGACUUUUAGGCCUUA
RNAcentral lists this transfer RNA (68 nucleotides) under Ochrophlegma sp. TAMUIC IGC OR279. RNAcentral describes it as "tRNA-Trp". The record is from RNAcentral. Lineage: Eukaryota; Metazoa; Arthropoda; Insecta; Orthoptera; Pyrgomorphidae.